Mirounga angustirostris (Northern elephant seal) is the source of this 2525-nucleotide long non-coding RNA. RefSeq lists it as uncharacterized. The record is from RefSeq and is a predicted model, not a curated record. The transcript is spliced from 3 exons. Lineage: Eukaryota; Metazoa; Chordata; Mammalia; Carnivora; Phocidae.
CGCUUAACCGACUGAGCCACCCAGGCGCCCCCUUUUGUUUUUCUGUGCCUCUAAGGGAGAGGGCUCCAGGGACUAAUCUUGAGGCCAAGCCCACAAGAGGAUAGAGCAGGUAACACCUACAACCCUCUUUUGUCUUCCAGAGUCAGUGAAUGUGGAGCGGGCAGCAAGAUUAAUGUCCAAGUCUUCAAGGUAUAAAGCAUAAAAGAAAAUUUAAAGACCAAAAGCUUCAUAAUCUUGCAGCCCACUGAAAGACAGCUGAAACAUGCAGAGUGUGACCUUCUUCCAGAACUCGUGGCUGCCUUCGUACCUUUCUGUUUAUUUUUUUUUUUAAGAUUUUAUUUAUUUAUUUGACAGAGAGAGACACAGCCAGAGAGGGAACACAAGCAGGGGGAGGGGAGAGGGAGAAGCAGGCUUCCCGCCGAGCAGGGAGCCCGAUGCGGGGCUCGAUCCCAGGACCUUGGGACCAUGACCCGAGCCGAAGGCAGACGCUUAACGACUGAGCCACCCAGGCGCCCCGUACCUUUCUGUUUAAAAGGAACCUUAUUUUGGCAGCAGCUGGCCCCUCAGGGUCCUGAAAAUCUUGCUUCCAGAUUCCUUGGAGACUCGCGCUACCCCUCACCCCCACUAAUUAAAAAGUACACAGUCACUCCUCACAAUCCCAGUACAGCUCUUUCUGCCCACACAUCCUGUCCCUUGAAUAGGGAAGGGGUGAAGGAUAGGGAAGGGGUGAAGGUCUAGGCAAGAGAGAGAGGAGGCCCCUGAUUCCCCUGACUGGGUUCUGGAACUAUUCCUGGCAAGAGGAGACGCUGACGCAGAGCAGAACAAGAGAUAAGAAAACAUCCAAGACACCAGAAUCUCAAGGCCACAAGCUUCCCAGUCAGUUCUCAAGACAAGACUCCCCUAAAGGCCCUCAGCGGCAACCCAUUCCGGGACCCCUCGCACUCUAGAGAGCUUUUUCUUUCCUUUCUGCUCUCACCUUCACUUAAUAAACUUUGACUUCACUUCACCCUUUUGUGUCCGCAAGAUUCAUUCUUCGACUUCAUGAGACAAGAACCCUGCCAUCCUCCAACAUUUACACCUGGAGCUGGGAGCCAAGAGUCACAGGGGUGAAGACAUGUUCUCAUAAAAUCGAGAGGAGUUAAGAAGAAUCACCCUCUCGAAUCAAUCAGCAACAUAUGGGGAGGCAGUGCGCUGUGGGAGGUCAAGUAGCUUUAAGGUCAGACAGAUCAAGGUUUUGGUACCAGCUUUCACCCUGGCCAGUGGUAUAUAUACAAGGUAAUUCACUGCAGAACUGUUGAUAAUAACAAAUGACUAGACGUAUACUAAGUGUCUCCCAAUAGGGGACCUGUUAAGUAAAUUAUGGUAUAAUCACAUAGAAAGUUAUCCAAGUGGAAAAACAAGGUACAAAGCAGUGUAUAAAGGAUGUUACCCUUUGUGAAAAACACAAAAAGGAUGAAACUAUGUUCUAUUUUAUAUCUGCUUGUUUAGGAAAUAGAAUAUCUCCGAAAGAAUACUCAAGAAACUAAUAAGAUUGAUUUUCAGGGGGAGGGGAAGUGGAUGGCUGAGAAAAAACAUUUGAAAGAGAAACUUGUCAUUUCAUUUUUAAACUGCAUAACUGUCAUCUGUUCAAAAAUUAAGACAAAGAAUGGUUUUUAAAGAAAAAGUAAGGAGCUAUAUCUGGAGAAAAUUUACAAAAGGAAAAAGAAAACAGCUUUCCUUUUGACUAGUUAUGCAAACUUGAACAAGUUAUUUCACUUUUACAGGGCUCAGUUGUCCAUACGUCUAAAUGAGGAUAACAAUAGGACCUAUCACCUAGGUUUGUGUAAAGAUUAAAUGAUCAAAUAUAAAUGUACAUUAAAAGAUUAAAUUUACAUUUACAUUAAUGGUACUGUGCCUGGCACAAAAAUACUGGAUACAUAUUAACUGUUAACAUUAUUAUAUUUGUUGGGAUUCUGAUAAUGAAGGCUAUUGAGAGGUUGCAAAGAAAGAAGAUACGGGCUAUUCCUGUAUAGAGCUUACAGAUAUGUAUAUAUAUAUAUACACACACACAUACAUAUGUAUAAAAUCUGUAUAUAUAUAUAUAUAUCUGUAUAUAUAUCAUCUGUAUAUAUACAUAUAUCAUUUUUCUCUUGCACAACUGUAUAUAUAUAAAAAUACAGAUAUAUAUACAGAUAUUUAUAUUUAUUUAUAUAUAUAACAUACAUAUAUAUAUAUCUCCUCACCCCCACCCUGCUGUGUAAUCAGUAACUUUAUCCUUGCAAUAGUUCUGACCAAAAAUCUUAGAAUCAUCCUUGAGGGGCACUGGGUGGCUCAGAUGGUUAAGCGUCUGCCUUCGGCUCAGGUCAUGAUCCCGGAGUCCUGGGAUCGAGCCCCGCAUCGGGCUCCCUGCUCGGCGGGAAGCCUGCUUCUCCUUCUCCCACUCCCCUUGCUUGUGUUCCCUCUCACGCUGUCUCUCUCUGUUAAAUAAAUAAAUAAAAUCUUAAAAAAAAAAAAGAAUCAUCCUUGAAUCCUCUCUUUCUCUCACA